CAGUAGCCGCGGUAAUACAGAGGGUGCGAGCGUUAAUCGGAUUUACUGGGCGUAAAGCGUGCGUAGGCGGCUUUUUAAGUCGGAUGUGAAAUCCCUGAGCUUAACUUAGGAAUUGCAUUCGAUACUGGGAAGCUAGAGUAUGGGAGAGGAUGGUAGAAUUCCAGGUGUAGCGGUGAAAUGCGUAGAGAUCUGGAGGAAUACCGAUGGCGAAGGCAGCCAUCUGGCCUAAUACUGACGCUGAGGUACGAAAGCAUGGGGAGCAAACAGGAUUAGAGACCCGAGUAGUCCCUGUCUCUUAUAA
Molecule: ribosomal RNA, 301 nt
Filed under: uncultured bacterium
Lineage: Bacteria
Description: partial 16S ribosomal RNA
Rfam family: Bacterial small subunit ribosomal RNA
Source: RNAcentral